AUGGAGAGGCAAAGAUUAGGGAGGAUGAGGAAACCCCAGGAAGGCAGGAAGGGUUUCCCCCCUGGGUUUCCCAUGGCAGGUGGUGCAAGCACACGCUGGCCCAGGGAAUGGGAGCAGGAACUGUCAGCAGGAGCUGGGGAUACGCGGAGCUGGCACGGGCAGAGCAGGGCUGGGGCAGCAGGGACAGCUCGGGGGCUGGCAGGUCCCUGGGCAUCCUCCCACCACCAGCCUCGGCACUGGCACUGGAGGCAGGAGACACCCAGCAGCAUUCCCUUCCUUCCUAACAACGUGGGAAGCGCCAAGGGAGAAGGAGGGAAGAUUUGAGUUUGAAAAGGCAGAAAAGCACAGCCUCGGGACGGUGGUAAAUGGGCCACACGGUUCCCAGUGCCCUAGAAAUUCCCUGUGCGCCGCACAGCGGGGUGGCUGCUGAUGCUAUCGCUGUCCCAGCUCCAUGACUAAGGGAGCUGGAAGGUAUAAAUUAAAUAACACAACACUUCAAGCCGCCUGUUAUGUGGGUUUGUCCUAAGCAGCGCUGCUUUAAUUAAGAUGGAGAGUUUACAAAUCUAACCUUUGUUUAUUCUGCUUUGGGGCAUAUAUAAUGUAAAUAUGUGUUUUCAAACACUGUGGCUUUUUAGACUUCCAGUUAUAAUUCUGGGUAAAGGAAAGUUCGUCAGGUUUGGCACAGACUUGCCCUUUCUAAAUAGAACUCCUGCGAGUCCUUCCCCCCGGGGGCUCUCAGCUCUCGCUCUGCUCCCAACCCGGCUCUGGGCUGGGAUGUGUAAAAGAGGCACUGCCGAGAGAGGGAAGUGGGUUCCAACUCCGUUUCCCUCUCAUCUGACUUAGCUGUGAGUCUCACCGGUUUUGUUCCUGUGUCCCCUCUCUGUCCUUUAGCUGUGAAAACAAGAACGGAGUUUAGGCGGCUACGUGCUCGUCGGGAUUUCUCCGAUGAGUCAGUGAUACGCUUGGGUAGUUUUCUUAGCCUUUAAUUGAAGUGAGUGUGAGCCCUUAACAAAGAGCUCUCCCAAGUCUUCCUUAAUAAGCGUUAACAAAAAUAACUGAGCGACCGGGAGGGAAAUAACCAGGGGCGGCAGUGGUGUCCCCUCUCCUCGAACGUGGGGUUCCUGCAGGCUCUCCUGAGGGCAGGAACACAGGGCAGGACAGGGACACGGGCUGCACUGAGGGUGAUCCGGCUGAUCCCGCGCCACUGCUGGGAAAAACAUCUGUGAUUAGCAUGGACCAUCUCCAGGCGAGCCGGGCUGGUGGAGUGCUGCACUGGCAAACCCCUUUGGAUCUUUUUUUUGGUCUGUUUUUCUCAGUUUCUGCUUCUGCACAGCAAGGACACUAUCUUGCAGAAUUCUGCUGUGGUGCAGACGGUGGGGUCAAAACCAAGCAGACUCCAAACUCCCUGAUGCAGACGGACCCUUGGAGCCACAGGUGCUCCCAAGCAGGCUGGGCCACUCCAGGCAGCCAAGCCCCUGGGCACGUAGUCACAAACUUCCCUCUGGGGUCACAAGGCUGAGAAACUCUUUUUUGUUUCAAAUGCAAACACAUUUUGACAUAACCACUUGACUCUGGCACUGGAGUUUCAAGGAAAAAAGCCUGAGAGGCGUGAAAGAACCGCAGGCAUCUCUCGGAACAGAACGACGACUGUUUUGCAAUGCUCUUGGAAGGUGAAGAAAUGCCUGGGGAGGGCUGAGGAGCAGCGCUGCAGGAUCCAGGUGACCUGCCCAACGCUGCACAAAGCCACAGCUGAGCCAGCGGGCCGAGUGUCCCCGGGUCUCUGCUCUGUCCCCACUGUCCCUCCUCCCUGCUGGGCUGGGGUUUCGCUGAGCUGCGGCUUCAGGACCGGCCUUUGCAUUAUCUGUAACAGGAGACAAGAAAAACCACCCGGGUGUCCCAUAGGGGAGGAAGUCACAGGGGCCAAAUUUAGCCCUGCACGCUGCAGCCAGGGCGCCUCGGCCGCUUCUUCCCGCGCCUGGUACUGCCGAGGCCUCAGAUGCUCAGCGGGGAUCUAGGCCUGAGCAAAGAGGAUUGACCAGAGCUGGGGGAAAAUAAAUAAUCAAGUGCUGUAAGCCUGUUUUCA
Molecule: long non-coding RNA, 2083 nt
Organism: Parus major (Great Tit)
Lineage: Eukaryota; Metazoa; Chordata; Aves; Passeriformes; Paridae
Source: Ensembl